This 868-nucleotide ribosomal RNA is filed under the name uncultured archaeon. RNAcentral's name for it is "bacterial SSU rRNA". It matches the Rfam family "Archaeal small subunit ribosomal RNA", at positions 27 to 900 of the family's 1478-position model. The record is from RNAcentral.
CCGCUAUUGGAGUUCGAUUAAGCCAUGCGAGUCGAGAGUCCUCGGGACUCGGCGUACCGCUCAGUAACACGUGGGUAACCUGCCCUAUGCUGGGGAAUAACCUCGGGAAACUGAGAAUAAUGCCCCAUAGCCCACUACGCCUGGAACGGUGAGUGGGUCAAAGCUCCGGCGGCAUAGGAUGGGCCUGCGCCGUAUCAGGUUGUAGGGGGUGUAAAGUACCCUCUAGCCAUCAACGCGUACGGGUGUUGGGAGACAUUGCCCGGAGAUGGAUUCUGAGACACGAAUCCAGGCCCUACGGGGUGCAGCAGGCGCGAAAACUUGGCAAUGCGAGCAAUCGUGACCAGGGAACUCCAAGUGCGUAGGGUAAGACCUACGCUUUUCUUGACUCUUCAAAGGUCUUGGAAUAAGGGGUGGGUAAGGACGGUGCCAGCCGCCGCGGUAAUACCGGCGCCUCAAGUGGUAGUCGCUCUUAUUGGGCCUAAAACGUCCGUAGCCGGUCUGGUGCAUUCGUGGGUAAAUCAACCCGCUCAACGGGUUGAAUUCUGCGAGCACGGCCAGACUUGGGACCGGGAGAGGUGUGGGGUACUCUCAGGGUAGGGGUAAAAUCCUGUCAUCCUGAGAGGACCACCUGUUGCGAAGGCGCCACACUAGAACGGAUCCGACGGUCAGGGACGAAACCUAGGGGCACGAACCGGAUUAGAUACCCGGGUAGUCCUAGGUGUAAACGCUGUGGACUUGAUGUUGGGGGCGCUCCGAGCGCUCUCAGUGUCGAAGCGAAGGUGAUAAGUCCACUGCCUGGGGAGUACGGUCGCAAGGCUGAAACUUAAAGGAAUUGGCGGGGGAGCACUGCAACCUGAGGAUUGUGCGG